GGCCAGCAUCAGUUUUGGUGGCAGGAUAAAUCCAUAGGAAUGUAGCUUGCCUCGGUAAGUAUUAUAGCCUGUGGGAAUACUGCCAGCUGGGACUGAGGACUGCGACGUAAGUCAAGGAUGCUGGCAUAAU
RNAcentral lists this ribosomal RNA (130 nucleotides) under Saccharomyces cerevisiae (brewer's yeast). Its description in RNAcentral is "partial 26S rRNA". The record is from RNAcentral. Lineage: Eukaryota; Fungi; Ascomycota; Saccharomycetes; Saccharomycetales; Saccharomycetaceae.